AGCGAACGCUGGCGGCAGGCCUAACACAUGCAAGUCGAACGGAUCCUUCGGGAUUAGUGGCGGACGGGUGAGUAACACGUGGGAACGUGCCCUUUGGUUCGGAACAACUCAGGUAAACUUGAGCUAAUACCGGAUGUGCCCUUCGGGGGAAAGAUUUAUCGCCAUUGGAGCGGCCCGCGUCUGAUUAGCUAGUUGGUGAGGUAACGGCACACCAAGGCGACGAUCAGUAGCUGGUCUGAUAGGAUGAUCAUCCACACUGGGAAUGAGACACGGACCAGACUCGGACGGGAGGGAGCAGUGGGGAAUAUUGCGCAAUGGGAGAAAGCCUGACGAAGCCAUGCCGCGUGAAUGAUGAAGGUCUUAGGAUUGUAAAAUUCUUUCAGCGGGGACGAUAAUGACGGUAACCGGAGAAGAAGCACCGGCUAACUUCGUG
This 433-nucleotide ribosomal RNA is filed under the name uncultured bacterium. Its description in RNAcentral is "partial 16S ribosomal RNA". It matches the Rfam family "Bacterial small subunit ribosomal RNA", at positions 29 to 507 of the family's 1533-position model. The record is from RNAcentral.